Long non-coding RNA from Bombus terrestris (buff-tailed bumblebee), 4646 nucleotides. RefSeq lists it as uncharacterized. Lineage: Eukaryota; Metazoa; Arthropoda; Insecta; Hymenoptera; Apidae. The record is from RefSeq and is a predicted model, not a curated record. The transcript is spliced from 2 exons.
AGGUUUAAGAUGUUCUUUUGUUUUUAUCCCUAGUCCACGUAAGAAAGUGCAAUAAAGAACGGUGUGAUAGUUUUAUCCAAAGAAUGAAAUAAUAGAUAUUGUGGUCCUACCUCUGAAUACAGAAAUAACAACAGAAAUAUCAUUUAAUAGACGUAGAAAAAUAUUUCGUACAAACGUGAUCGUAACAAGUAGAAACUUACAGGAUGAGAACCAUCUAAAGAACACCUUUCAGGUUAUAUCUUAUGGAAGAAUUCGACAUAAUAUCGUUCUUGUAGGCUCAUCCAAAGAGUAGACAGUUGAUGAUCACGUUGAUCCUUGGUAGCAUCGUCGCGGAUCUAUUAUGACAAAAGGGACACAAGUGCCUUGCCGUUGAACAGCGUUACCAACGACGAAGAUAAAUCGGAAGAAAUGCAAACGACGUUGCUACGUCGCUUGAAUGAAGCUCCAUUACGACGAUUUUCGAGGACACCCUUCGACGUGGACAAGAACGGGCGGAAAAAGGGCGAGCUAGCAACCAGAGAACGGAGUGACAUUGUGCCGGUGAAAGUUGGGUGAAGUGACACUCGAGAUAAAUGUUCCAUCGCCGUUUUAAGGACUAACUGUUUCCUUCUUUUUCCAUCUUUCCUCCCUUCCCUCUACUGUCCAGUGAACAUUUUUAUAAAAUCAUCGAAUGUCUUUUCACGCAAAUUUUCCAUGUGUCGGACAACAGUCGAGCCUACGGUUUACGUCUCUUUCCCUUGAGAAAUUUUAAUCGUCUGGCAAAGUUGCCAAUGUUGUACAGAAGAUGCGUGUCUACCACCUUAAGCGAAUCUUCUUUUAACUAUGAAUUUUUAUUCAUUGCUUUUUACAAGUGUAAAUUGAUCUCGCUACAGUUGAUCAUUUUAGCCAUUGAUCUUCAUCGAUUCAAGAGAUAUUAAUAUAAAAAUAUAAUUGCAAGUCCAAUUAAUAAACAAAUUUGAUGUUACGAAAUUGUCGAAGUUGGCGUCUCUUUGUUAUCGUUCGGUUGUUAUUGUUCGGUUCAUUACUGUAUCAUAUCAAAGUUCGUGGAAGGUCUGUAAAUAAACAACGUGUAAAAAUCAUGCGUGAUAAUACGUACAAAUUUAAGGGGAUGUCCUGAAUUAGAAUGUUGUAAAACAGCGUUUUUUGCGAUUUUUUUUAGAAGGGAAAGAAAGAAAUGAAGUUAUUGAGUUUCGAGUCAAGAAUUACGAGAUGGAUCUUUCCCGCUGAUUGAAGACUGAAGAUGUUAAAAUUAUGAAAAAAAACUAUGUACGAAUUGAAGAAGUGUACGUUAUCCUAUGGCCGACCAUAUGCAACAGUUGUCAAGAAUAUUUGUCAACAAGUUGAAAUUAUAAGGUGGACGUAGCGCAACUUGAAAAUUCGUAGUACGAGAGCAGACGAGCGGAGAUCGUGGAGCCAUAGAACAUGGAUAACCGCAUUAAUGGAAAAAUUCGCGGCAGAAGCGAGAUUUCGGCGAGCUUUGAAAGAGCCUGGGCUCUUAACUCACCGAGAAAUCGGGGAUCAUUAGGCGAACUUAGGUAGACCGGAGACCGAAAAAGGGCGACGGUUUCUCGCAACUGUCCGGUUGACCCAUAUCUUUCGGAAAAACUGAAAAACUGACGGACCGGAGGAAAUACCACGCAGAUGGCGCUGUGCUUGCGCCACGCUACGUACAUAAAUUUCCCUUUUUUUCUUGCCCUUGGCGCUUUUGUUGGCCCGGAGAGACGGUUCUCCUUUUUUCUAUCCUUCACGAGGCACCACGCUCGAAUGCUUUAGACAAAAGGACGCGGACUGCGUUUCACCAACAGACAGAGGGAGAAAAAAGAAGGAAAUGCUGCACUGGGGCAAAUGGACACAGGACAGCCCUCUCUCCACGAAGAAUGAAAUUGCGGUAGCUGUCGUGUCCGUUUACGUUUAACUGCUCGCUUAAAUCUUCACCGUUUCGGAGCGAACUAACUGCAAUCGGACCACUUCACUUUGUUUAGCGUAGAGAUAUCGCCAGCUUCCACGUUGAACGCAAAUUAAUUCUUUUUUUUAAGCUACAAAAUUUGCACCAGCCUGGUGAGUCGUGUUGAGACGAAAGAAAAAGUAUUAUUGGAUUAGCUUGUAGUUUAUUUAGCGAACGUCCAGCUGGACAAAUUGUAAAGUACAAAUUAAAUAACAAUAAUAAAAAAAAGUUUAUAGUUUGCUUCAAUUGGAAUAACGAAUAGGAAGUAGAGAAUUUUAGGGAAUUAGAAAUUUGUAUUUUUAUGUCCGAGCAAGUUUCCAUUAAAUAUUGGUAUGUUACAAAGUUCAAUUACCAAACCUAUGGUGGUUUCGAUGUUCUCACAGUCCUGAUAGAUUGGAUUUUUAUUUCGCGAUAAAAUAGUCGAAAAUUGAUCGACUAAUGGGAUUUUAUUGAAACAUUCUGAUCGGUGAAGUUUGCUGAAAUAUUUUGCUUGGAAAAUAUUAGUCGGAUAUUUAAAAAAAGAUAUGUGUAAUGAUAAUCAUGAAUAUCUAUAGAUACAUAUUCACAAACAGAUGACGAUAGAAUCAUUCUACCGUAUCUGCGCAUUUUUUUUAAUCAUACAUUUGAAUAAAUUUCUCUAAACAAAUGUAAGAACGUACGGUUGCGUAUGGAUCUUUUUAGAAAGUCAGAAACUUUUCCAAUGGCUCGUAAUAUCUCUUUCAAACUUUUACUACCCUUUCUUUGGACCCACCGCCGUCAGCUUGAAUUUUUCAGCAAUUUCCAGUGACCACGAUCCAUGAUGGUUUUAUGGGGGAACGUUUUUUAACUUCAAAACAGUGGUUUUACGAUAUUUUGACGGGAUAUCCGUCGACAAUAAAAGACAAAGAUCAGUAGGACAAACGACGAGAGGAGUGAGAUCAUCGUAUCUUUUCAAAAAAUUCUACCUUUCUUCCCUUUUCUCAAACCAUUGUCCUUCACUCGUAUGCUACUUCGCUAACAAUUAAACCUUUUGCUUUCUCAGUUACAUAAUCUUCUCAUAAUUCACGCAGUUUCAUUAAAACGAUUGUUAUUAAAAAAUAAAGUUAUAAAAGUAUCAAUAAAAUUACCAUACUGCAAAUAAUACUAUUACUAACCAUAAAUAAAAUUAUCAAUUUCAAGUUAUAAAAAAAUAUUAUUUACUCAAGCUUCUUAAAAACUAGUAUACCUCGUUCCAAACGUAUAAAAAUCAUUCAAUGAAUCUACGAUAAGUAUACAAAUUCUCCUAAUUUCGCCUGGUCAAUAAUAUCUUGAAAAGAAGCAUUGGCAGAAAUCGACAAUACACCGAAAUUAUAAUCGAACACGUACAAAUUAAUGUACUUUACGUAUACGAAACGCAAAUAACGUCUCUUUAGUUUCAUACUAAUUUCGUAUAAAAGCUGAUUCUCAAAUUUUUCUCAUUUGCAAUAUUCUUACUUAUUCGCGAUAUUCUGGAAGAUGGUAUCCCGCUAGGGGUAGCCAUCCACAUGUUAUUUAGCAAUAAAGUUAAACAAAUUUACCGAAUGUCCAGCUGGACAGAUUGUAAAAUACAAAUGAAAUAAAAAUUUGCGAUAUUUUUAAUUACUAUAGAAAAUUUCUCGUCGCACAAAAUUCAUCGGAGUUUACAGAAAAGUCAAUAUCGUUAAUAUUACGAUGUAAAUCUCUCCAUCAGAAAAUUCAUCGAAAUCUCCAGGAAACCCAAUAUCGUCAAAAUAUAACGAUAUAAAACUUUCCAUCAAAAUUCAUCGAAGUUUACAGACCAACCAAACGAACUAUUCACGAUUCUAACGAAAAUCGAGGGAACCGAAAGAACCGCUGUAUCACGCAGGGCAAACAAAAUUGGAAUAAGACGAGUCCUCGAAUAUCCGGCCGAAGAUUCUCCAUCGAGACUUUUGUCGUACGACCGUUUGAUUCGGUAAUUUCAUUGGAUGUCACGAGUUCGAACGUUCCAACCGCGUUUACACGAAAGGAUAGUCGCGAGCAGUCGCAGGGAUUUCGUAGUUGGAAAGUGAUUUUCCGGGCAAACGGAGACAGGCCACUGGGUGACUGAAAAUCGUCGCACGCCUCAUCGAAUCUUCUCCUUUUCCUUUUUCGCGUAUAAUGCCAAUGUUUGGACACACGGCCGAAAAGGCUUGGACUUUUCCUUAGGCCGGGGACAAAUAAACAGUCGUUUAUCUCGUUGGACCACGAAUGCGACCAGUCGACCGACUGCUUUCCCCAUUUUUCGCCUGCAUCUCGUCAGAUCGUUUGCCUUUAUCGUUAAUCCAAUCCAUAGAAAUCUCGUCGCGGGAAAAAAGGAACGAUGCUCGUUUCCUAUGGUUUAACUAGAAGUUUGUGGGAAAUUGUAUUCUUGUUCGGAGAUAGAGGAAUUGACGAUGGGAUUGGGCUUUAAUGGGAUGGGAACGAAGGAAUUAUUUUCGUGGUUGAUGAAUUUUCUUUUCUUUUUUUUUUCUGUGGAUGCUGCAAAGGAACAGCAGUUUGAAAGGGUUAGGAAAUUUUGUUGGAAUCUUGAAAGCACGUGUUUAGGUAGUUUCGUUGAAAUCUUUAAGGUACACAGUCGCGGGAUUCUGUAAUUAAGAUAAGAAUAAGAAUUUGGAAAGAUUCGCCUUAUGUAUUAUGCAUUGUAUUGUUCUGUAUUGUUAAUCGAAAUUGAGAUUGAAAUAAAUGCGAGAAAUUCUUCAUUGUC